UCGCCUGGUGUGGAUCUCCUUCCUGCCUGCGGAGUACAGACAGAAGAGAGGUGAAGGAGUUGGACCCGAAGGAGAGUUUGACCCAAAGGAGAGUUUGACCCAAAGGAGAGUUGGACCCAAAGAAGAGUUGGACCCAAAGGAGAGUUGGACCCAAAGGAGAGUUGGACCCAAAGGAGAGUUGGACCCAAAGGAGAGUUGGACCCAAAGAAGAGUUGGACCCAAAGAAGAGUUGGACAAGCUUUAAUAAAACAUAAUUUAAACAUAGCUGGCUAAAUCGUAACCUCUCGCUUUUAACUUAGAUUUGUGAAACAACACGUUCGUUUUUUUUUUCUCCCAAAGUUCACGGACAUGUUUGAGAAGAUCGCUCGUAGUUAUUAACUUGUUACCGGUGUUUACGGUGUCUACCAUCACCACCCGGUGUACCCGUUUACCCCUCCAGUCCCUGGGCCCUGUCUCUCUCUUCUGCCUCUCAGCUAACCUCGAUCUGGGAAAGAUGGUGUCGUGGAUGAUCUCCAGAAGCGUUGUGCUCGUCUUCGGGACCCUGUAUCCUGCAUACUAUUCCUACAAAGCAGUGAAAACAAAAAAUGUCAAGGAAUAUGUCCGUUGGAUGAUGUACUGGAUUGUGUUUGCUCUCUACACCGUAGUGGAGACCAUCACAGACCUCACUGUAGCCUGGUUCCCCCUGUACUAUGAGAU
Oncorhynchus nerka (sockeye salmon) is the source of this 696-nucleotide long non-coding RNA. RefSeq lists it as uncharacterized. The record is from RefSeq and is a predicted model, not a curated record. The transcript is spliced from 4 exons. Lineage: Eukaryota; Metazoa; Chordata; Actinopteri; Salmoniformes; Salmonidae.